GACGAACGCUGGCGGCGUGCUUAACACAUGCAAGUCGAGCGGAAAGGCCCUUUCGGGGGUACUCGAGCGGCGAACGGGUGAGUAACACGUGAGUAAUCUGCCCCUGGCUUUGGGAUAGCCACCGGAAACGGUGAUUAAUACCGGAUACGACCACCUCUCGCAUGGGAUGGUGGUGGAAAGUUUUUCGGCCAGGGAUGUGCUCGCGGCCUAUCAGCUAGAUGGUGAGGUAAUGGCUCACCAUGGCUUCGACGGGUAGCCGGCCUGAGAGGGUGAGCGGUCACACUGGGACUGAGACACGGCCCAGACUCCUACGGGAGGCAGCAGUGGGGAAUAUUGGACAAUGGGCGGAAGCCUGAUCCAGCAACGCCGCGUGAGGGAUGACGGCCUUCGGGUUGUAAACCUCUUCCAGCAGGGACGAAGCGCAAGUGACGGUACCUGCAGAAGAAGCACCGGCCAACUACGUGCCAGCAGCCGCCGUAA
Molecule: ribosomal RNA, 480 nt
Filed under: uncultured bacterium
Lineage: Bacteria
Description: partial 16S ribosomal RNA
Rfam family: Bacterial small subunit ribosomal RNA
Source: RNAcentral